RNAcentral lists this ribosomal RNA (429 nucleotides) under Bacillota bacterium. RNAcentral's name for it is "Firmicutes bacterium partial 16S ribosomal RNA". It matches the Rfam family "Bacterial small subunit ribosomal RNA", at positions 355 to 776 of the family's 1533-position model. The record is from RNAcentral. Lineage: Bacteria; Bacillati; Bacillota.
UGGGGAAUUUUGGACAAUGGGCGAAAGCCUGAUCCAGCAAUGCCGCGUGUGUGAAGAAGGCCUUCGGGUUGUAAAGCACUUUUGUCCGGAAAGAAAACGCCGUGGUUAAUACCCGUGGCGGAUGACGGUACCGGAAGAAUAAGCACCGGCUAACUACGUGCCAGCAGCCGCGGUAAUACGUAGGGUGCAAGCGUUAAUCGGAAUUACUGGGCGUAAAGCGUGCGCAGGCGGUCCGCUAAGGCAGAUGUGAAAUCCCCGGGCUUAACCUGGGAACUGCAUUUGUGACUGGCGGGCUAGAGUAUGGCAGAGGGGGGUAGAAUUCCACGUGUAGCAGUGAAAUGCGUAGAGAUGUGGAGGAAUACCGAUGGCGAAGGCAGCCCCCUGGGCCAAUACUGACGCUCAUGCACGAAAGCGUGGGGAGCAAACAGG